This 1308-nucleotide ribosomal RNA is filed under the name human gut metagenome. RNAcentral describes it as "bacterial SSU rRNA". It matches the Rfam family "Bacterial small subunit ribosomal RNA". The record is from RNAcentral.
UUUGCUGACGAGUGGCGGACGGGUGAGUAAUGUCUGGGAAACUGCCUGAUGGAGGGGGAUAACUACUGGAAACGGUAGCUAAUACCGCAUAACGUCGCAAGACCAAAGAGGGGGACCUUAGGGCCUCUUGCCAUCGGAUGUGCCCAGAUGGGAUUAGCUAGUAGGUGGGGUAACGGCUCACCUAGGCGACGAUCCCUAGCUGGUCUGAGAGGAUGACCAGCCACACUGGAACUGAGACACGGUCCAGACUCCUACGGGAGGCAGCAGUGGGGAAUAUUGCACAAUGGGCGCAAGCCUGAUGCAGCCAUGCCGCGUGUAUGAAGAAGGCCUUCGGGUUGUAAAGUACUUUCAGCGGGGAGGAAGGGAGUAAAGUUAAUACCUUUGCUCAUUGACGUUACCCGCAGAAGAAGCACCGGCUAACUCCGUGCCAGCAGCCGCGGUAAUACGGAGGGUGCAAGCGUUAAUCGGAAUUACUGGGCGUAAAGCGCACGCAGGCGGUUUGUUAAGUCAGAUGUGAAAUCCCCGGGCUCAACCUGGGAACUGCAUCUGAUACUGGCAAGCUUGAGUCUCGUAGAGGGGGGUAGAAUUCCAGGUGUAGCGGUGAAAUGCGUAGAGAUCUGGAGGAAUACCGGUGGCGAAGGCGGCCCCCUGGAUCGACCGCCUGGGGAGUACGGCCGCAAGGUUAAAACUCAAAUGAAUUGACGGGGGCCCGCACAAGCGGUGGAGCAUGUGGUUUAAUUCGAUGCAACGCGAAGAACCUUACCUGGUCUUGACAUCCACGGAAGUUUUCAGAGAUGAGAAUGUGCCUUCGGGAACCGUGAGACAGGUGCUGCAUGGCUGUCGUCAGCUCGUGUUGUGAAAUGUUGGGUUAAGUCCCGCAACGAGCGCAACCCUUAUCCUUUGUUGCCAGCGGUCCGGCCGGGAACUCAAAGGAGACUGCCAGUGAUAAACUGGAGGAAGGUGGGGAUGACGUCAAGUCAUCAUGGCCCUUACGACCAGGGCUACACACGUGCUACAAUGGCGCAUACAAAGAGAAGCGACCUCGCGAGAGCAAGCGGACCUCAUAAAGUGCGUCGUAGUCCGGAUUGGAGUCUGCAACUCGACUCCAUGAAGUCGGAAUCGCUAGUAAUCGUGGAUCAGAAUGCCACGGUGAAUACGUUCCCGGGCCUUGUACACACCGCCCGUCACACCAUGGGAGUGGGUUGCAAAAGAAGUAGGUAGCUUAACCUUCGGGAGGGCGCUUACCACUUUGUGAUUCAUGACUGGGGUGAAGUCGUAACAAGGUAACCGUAGGGGAACCUGCGGUUG